GCCAUUGUUGCUGUUUUCGGGGGGAAUUUUGGGCGCUUACCGCGUAUAAUUUAUCUAUGCAUAUGUUUUGAGUUGCCAGCAACAGCGGCAGCGGCACAAGCUCGAGCUGAGGUAGCCCGAAAUGGAGGCCCUGCCCUACAUAAAUCACAGUCACUAGCACGCAUUCGCAGGCGUAACCACCCCAUCAACACCCCUUUCAUGUCGGUGUGUACUCCACGUAUGGAUUCUUCCACGUACCAAUCGGAUUCUGUAUAGAAUUGCCAGGAAUAUAACCGAGCAUUUGCUUGGCUCGAAAUGAUGCUAUAAAAGACCUGGAUUGAGCUGUUUAAGAUAUACAACCAGACUGACCGUCACGAUGAAGUUCCUCCAAAUCGCUGCUGUCCUGCUCUCUGUUGUUGCUCUGGCGAGUGCCCAGGAGGACGCUGGCAACGCCAACACAAACACAAACCAAAUCGAUAUAGCAGGAUAAAAUUCCUUACAUAAUUUUAUUACAUAUAAAAAUACAAUAAAAAAGCUUAUACAGUA
Drosophila kikkawai is the source of this 525-nucleotide non-coding RNA. NCBI's taxonomy places the organism in Eukaryota, Metazoa, Arthropoda, Insecta, Diptera, Drosophilidae. The record is from RefSeq and is a predicted model, not a curated record.